Lepidothrix coronata (blue-crowned manakin) is the source of this 524-nucleotide long non-coding RNA. RefSeq lists it as uncharacterized. Lineage: Eukaryota; Metazoa; Chordata; Aves; Passeriformes; Pipridae. The record is from RefSeq and is a predicted model, not a curated record. The transcript is spliced from 3 exons.
UGAUGACUUCUUAACAGUAGUCCCAUUUAAAACCAACCAGCUGCCCAGGAUAUUAACCACUGUCUCCAGGCAUGGUGCUCAGUGCCAUUAACGGCACUGCUGAUUUCCAGUAGAGCAGCUCUGGAAAUGUUAUCCAGCCUGGACCACAGAUUUCAUGACUUCUGUUGCAAAAUCUUUGCAACUUUAAUCUAAAACAUUUCCCAGCUUCUUAAUGCAACCAUGCAAUCCAGGUGGACACAAGAAAUCCUGAGCCUUCUUUCCAGUGACACUUGGAAAUCCUCCUGAUGCUUGAGCAGCUGCUGUGCCAUGACUGCUCUGCAACACAGUGACCUGUCUUGUUCCCUUCCACCCUGCUGUCUAUCCGCUUAUCUGCUUUCUUCCUAUGCUGCCACAAAGGUGCCAAUCUCUCUGAUUUCCAAUUGACUCUUUGGCUGUGCAUGACCCUACCUGGUCCUCAUCCUGUGAAAUGAAAGGAGUGGCAACUUACCAACUUGCAAAGUUGUCACAAUAACUUUUGUGUAGUG